UUAAGUUAGAAAGGGCGCACGGUGGAUGCCUUGACACUAGGAGUCGAUGAAGGACGGGACUAACGCCGAUAUGCUUCGGGGAGCUGUAAGUAAGCUUUGAUCCGAAGAUUUCCGAAUGGGGAAACCCACCAUACGUAAUGGUAUGGUAUCCUUAUCUGAAUACAUAGGGUAAGGAAGACAGACCCAGGGAACUGAAACAUCUAAGUACCUGGAGGAAGAGAAAGCAAAUGCGAUUUCCUGAGUAGCGGCGAGCGAAACGGAACAUAGCCCAAACCAACAGGCUUGCCUCUUGGGGUUGUAGGACAUUCUAUACGGAGUUACAAAGGAACGAGGUAGACGAAGCGACCUGGAAAGGUCCGUCGUAGAGGGUAACAACCCCGUAGUCGAAACUUCGUUCUCUCUUGAAUGUAUCCUGAGUACGGCGGAACACGUGAAAUUCCGUCGGAAUCUGGGAGGACCAUCUCCCAAGGCUAAAUACUCCCUAGUGAUCGAUAGUGAACCAGUACCGUGAGGGAAAGGUGAAAAGCACCCCGGAAGGGGAGUGAGAGAGAUCCUGAAACCGUGUGCCUACAAAUAGUCAGAGCCCGUUAACGGGUGAUGGCGUGCCUUUUGUAGAAUGAACCGGCGAGUUACGAUCCCGUGCGAGGUUAAGCUGAAGAGGCGGAGCCGCAGCGAAAGCGAGUCUGAAUAGGGCGUUUAGUACGUGGUCGUAGACCCGAAACCAGGUGAUCUACCCAUGUCCAGGGUGAAGUUCAGGUAACACUGAAUGGAGGCCCGAACCCACGCACGUUGAAAAGUGCGGGGAUGAGGUGUGGGUAGCGGAGAAAUUCCAAUCGAACCUGGAGAUAGCUGGUUCUCCCCGAAAUAGCUUUAGGGCUAGCCUUAAGUGUAAGAGUCUUGGAGGUAGAGCACUGAUUGGACUAGGGGUCCUCAUCGGAUUACCGAAUUCAGUCAAACUCCGAAUGCCAAUGACUUAUCCUUAGGAGUCAGACUGCGAGUGAUAAGAUCCGUAGUCAAAAGGGAAACAGCCCAGACCGCCAGCUAAGGUCCCAAAGUGUGUAUUAAGUGGAAAAGGAUGUGGAGUUGCUUAGACAACUAGGAUGUUGGCUUAGAAGCAGCCACCAUUUAAAGAGUGCGUAAUAGCUCACUAGUCGAGUGACUCUGCGCCGAAAAUGUACCGGGGCUAAAUACACCACCGAAGCUGCGGAUUGAUACCAAUGGUAUCAGUGGUAGGGGAGCGUUCUAAGGACAGUGAAGUCAGACCGGAAGGACUGGUGGAGUGCUUAGAAGUGAGAAUGCCGGUAUGAGUAGCGAAAGACGGGUGAGAAUCCCGUCCACCGAAUGCCUAAGGUUUCCUGAGGAAGGCUCGUCCGCUCAGGGUUAGUCAGGACCUAAGCCGAGGCCGACAGGCGUAGGCGAUGGACAACAGGUUGAUAUUCCUGUACCACCUCUUUAUCGUUUGAGCAAUGGAGGGACGCAGAAGGAUAGAAGAAGCGUGCGAUUGGUUGUGCACGUCCAAGCAGUUAGGCUGAUAAGUAGGCAAAUCCGCUUAUCGUGAAGGCUGAGCUGUGAUGGGGAAGCUCCUUAUGGAGCGAAGUCUUUGAUUCCCCGCUGCCAAGAAAAGCUUCUAGCGAGAUAAAAGGUGCCUGUACCGCAAACCGACACAGGUAGGCGAGGAGAGAAUCCUAAGGUGUGCGAGAGAACUCUGGUUAAGGAACUCGGCAAAAUGACCCCGUAACUUCGGGAGAAGGGGUGCUUUCUUAACGGAAAGCCGCAGUGAAUAGGCCCAAGCGACUGUUUAGCAAAAACACAGCUCUCUGCGAAGCCGUAAGGCGAAGUAUAGGGGGUGACACCUGCCCGGUGCUGGAAGGUUAAGGAGAGGGGUUAGCGUAAGCGAAGCUCUGAACUGAAGCCCCAGUAAACGGCGGCCGUAACUAUAACGGUCCUAAGGUAGCGAAAUUCCUUGUCGGGUAAGUUCCGACCCGCACGAAAGGUGUAACGAUUUGGGCACUGUCUCAACCAGAGACUCGGUGAAAUUAUAGUACCUGUGAAGAUGCAGGUUACCCGCGACAGGACGGAAAGACCCCGUGGAGCUUUACUGUAGCCUGAUAUUGAAUUUUGGUACAGUUUGUACAGGAUAGGCGGGAGCCUUUGAAACCGGAGCGCUAGCUUCGGUGGAGGCGCUGGUGGGAUACCGCCCUGACUGUAUUGAAAUUCUAACCUACGGGUCUUAUCGACCCGGGAGACAGUGUCAGGUGGGCAGUUUGACUGGGGCGGUCGCCUCCUAAAGUGUAACGGAGGCGCCCAAAGGUUCCCUCAGAAUGGUUGGAAAUCAUUCGUAGAGUGCAAAGGCAUAAGGGAGCUUGACUGCGAGACCUACAAGUCGAGCAGGGACGAAAGUCGGGCUUAGUGAUCCGGUGGUUCCGCAUGGAAGGGCCAUCGCUCAACGGAUAAAAGCUACCCCGGGGAUAACAGGCUUAUCUCCCCCAAGAGUCCACAUCGACGGGGAGGUUUGGCACCUCGAUGUCGGCUCAUCGCAUCCUGGGGCUGUAGUCGGUCCCAAGGGUUGGGCUGUUCGCCCAUUAAAGCGGUACGCGAGCUGGGUUCAGAACGUCGUGAGACAGUUCGGUCCCUAUCCGUCGUGGGCGUAGGAAAUUUGAGAGGAGCUGUCCUUAGUACGAGAGGACCGGGAUGGACGCACCGCUGGUGUACCAGUUGUUCUGCCAAGGGCAUAGCUGGGUAGCUAUGUGCGGAAAGGAUAAGUGCUGAAAGCAUCUAAGCAUGAAGCCCCCCUCAAGAUGAGAUUUCCCAUAGCGUAAGCUAGUAAGAUCCCUGAAAGAUGAUCAGGUUGAUAGGUUCGAGGUGGAAGCAUGGUGACAUGUGGAGCUGACGAAUACUAAUAGAUCGAGGACUUAACCAU
This 2920-nucleotide ribosomal RNA is filed under the name Bacillus thuringiensis. RNAcentral's name for it is "bacterial LSU rRNA". It matches the Rfam family "Bacterial large subunit ribosomal RNA". The record is from RNAcentral. Lineage: Bacteria; Bacillati; Bacillota; Bacilli; Caryophanales; Bacillaceae.